AAUUUUAAAAUGCGACUUGUCAAAAAAGGACAACUGGUAACCUUUUUAUAUAUGCGAUAGUUAGGGUUUAUUCAGAAUAAAAACAUAUUUCAUCACUCUUUUUGGGUCGCACUUGAGGAAAUUCUAGUAUUCGGCAUGGAUAGCUGUCCCUUCUUUCCUUAACAAGAUCUUUCCAUCAUGUUGGACAUAAAUUAUACGUUUACUUGAUAUCUUUGUGCCCAACAUGAAGAGGAAGCUCUUGUUACUGGAUAUAAAUUGACUGGCUUCACCUUCACGGCACUUUGGAUAGAACCCCACCCAGAAGAACACUUGGUUUUCAUAGAAGCAACAGAAAUGUCAAGUUAACGUGAAAAGAAAAUAUAUAUUUUUCUUGAACGUUUAAUUGACAUUUUUGUCAGCUUAACUUGAAUGAAAAAUAUAUGAUUAACAACGCAAUGAUAAAAGCAACCGACAACUUGGUGUUCAAUGUGAUGAAAAUGAUGAACCAAAUGAGGCUGAUGAAUUCUAAAAUGCCACUUGUCAAAAAAGGACAACUGGUCGAAAUCGAGUAAAUUCUUGAAUUCUGCAAAAAUUGCUGUCCCUUCUUCCUAAACAAGUUCUUCUCAUCAUGUUGGAUAGAUAAUAUACGUUUACUUGACGUGAUAUCUGCUCAAUAUGAGGAGAAGCACUUGUUACUGGAUAUUAAUUGACUGGCUUCACGGCACUUUCGACAACGCCUCACCAAGAAGAACACUUGGCUUUCAUGGAGGCAACAAAAAUGUCAACAUAACGUGAAAGAAGAAUAUAAUAUGAUAAAUAGCGCAAAAAUGAAGUUAACCGACAACUUGGUGUUCAAUGUUAUGAAAGUGAGAACCAAAUAAGGUUGGAAAAUUCUAGAAUGCUGACAAGAAAGGAUAGAUAUAUUGGAUGAGAGUCACAAAAAACCCAGAACCCGAUGCUAGGAAUGUUUGUGAGAUUACUGGGAUACUCUAUACCUAUAUAAGGUUUCUUUAGGGAUAGAAUAUCCCAGCCAUCAACAAUAGACGUCGAAAUUGAAUUCUUGAAUUCUGCAAAAAUAGCCGUCACUUCUUCCCUGAACAAGUUCUUCUCACCGUGUUGGACAGAACAUACACGUUUAAUUUACUUGACGUUUGAACUGCCCAACACGGAGAGAAGCACUUGAUGUUACUGAAUAUAAGUUGACUGACUUCACGGCACUUUGAUUAGAGCCCCAGCCAGAAGAACACUUGGCUCUUGGCUUUCAUAGACGCUAGGAAAAUGUCAACUUAACUUGAAUGAAAAAUAUAUGAUAAAUAACGCAAAGGUGGAUACAAGCGACAAUGUGAGUAUCUCUUUCGAAUUAUUUUUGAAAUCAGUAUGUAGGUACGAAUCUGUGGGUAAUCUGAAAUGGAAAUUUCACCUUUAUUUUACUUCGGGAUUAUCACUCAAAAAUUUUGCCUGAAAUUCCGAGUUAAGUAUAUCUCAGAAUUUUGAAAUUGCGAAUUAUAUAUCGGUAAUUUGUUCCAAAAUUUUGGGCAUCUCUAAAAUAUCUGUAGAAAACACAUAACAACAUUUCAAAUCUUACGUGCAGAUGUAAAGGCUGUUUUUUAGAGCUAUAGAACUUUGAAUUGCAAUAAAACAACGAUGGAUUAUUCGAUUUACAUG
Harmonia axyridis is the source of this 1644-nucleotide long non-coding RNA. RefSeq lists it as uncharacterized. Lineage: Eukaryota; Metazoa; Arthropoda; Insecta; Coleoptera; Coccinellidae. The transcript is spliced from 5 exons. The record is from RefSeq and is a predicted model, not a curated record.